Long non-coding RNA from Suricata suricatta (meerkat), 438 nucleotides. RefSeq lists it as uncharacterized. The record is from RefSeq and is a predicted model, not a curated record. NCBI's taxonomy places the organism in Eukaryota, Metazoa, Chordata, Mammalia, Carnivora, Herpestidae. The transcript is spliced from 2 exons.
CUUCAUUCAAAGGUUCACGACAGAGAGCUGAUGGAGACCGAAAGAGAGUCUGUCCUUGACAUAGAAGAGGAGGAAUUUCAACAAAAGUCCCUUAAUUUAACUGAAGGUGCCUGGAAGUCUGUGGGCCACCUCUCAUGCCGACCCUGGAGAAUGAAAGGACAGAGCCUGUCAAGAUUCAAACAGACAUCACUACGCUUCUUCCCAAAUUGCCUCAAUCCCCAUGAAACGCAAGGCCGUGCAAGGCCUCGCGCCGACGGCAAGAAGGACCUGGUCACCUGGGGGCCAGUGGUCCCCGUCCCGGCCCUGGGACAAGGAAUCUUGCCCACCCACCCAGAAACAUAGUGGACAGAGCGGCGACUUUUCCAGGACUGGGCCCACGAACAAGACAGUGCCCCUUCCCCAGCUGUUCUGAACCAUCACAAGGGUUCACCAUUCAAA